UGCCUUACACAUGCAAGUCGGACGGCAGCGCGGGCUUCGGCCUGGCGGCGAGUGGCGAACGGGUGAGUAAUACAUCGGAACAUGUCCAGUAGUGGGGGAUAGCCCGGCGAAAGCCGGAUUAAUACCGCAUACGAUCUGUGGAUGAAAGCGGGGGAUCUUCGGACCUCGCGCUAUUGGGGUGGCCGAUGGCGGAUUAGGUAGUUGGUGGGGUAAAGGCCUACCAAGCCGACGAUCCGUAGCUGGUCUGAGAGGACGACCAGCCACACUGGGACUGAGACACGGCCCAGACUCCUACGGGAGGCAGCAGUGGGGAAUUUUGGACAAUGGGGGCAACCCUGAUCCAGCAAAUGCCGCGUGUGUGAAGAAGGCCUUCGGGUUGUAAAGCUC
Molecule: ribosomal RNA, 387 nt
Filed under: uncultured organism
Description: bacterial SSU rRNA
Rfam family: Bacterial small subunit ribosomal RNA
Source: RNAcentral